Molecule: ribosomal RNA, 253 nt
Filed under: uncultured bacterium
Lineage: Bacteria
Description: partial 16S ribosomal RNA
Rfam family: Bacterial small subunit ribosomal RNA
Source: RNAcentral
CACGUAGGGCGCAAGCGUUGUCCGGAAUUAUUGGGCGUAAAGAGCUCGUAGGUGGUUUGUUACGUCCGCUGUGAAAUCCUAGGGCUUAACCCUGGGCUUGCAGUGGAUACGGGCAGACUAGAGGUAGGUAGGGGAGAAUGGAAUUCAUGGUGUAGCAGUGAAAUGCGUAGAGAUCAUGAGGAAGACCAGUGGCGAAGGCGGGUCUCUGGACAGUUCCUGACACUGAGGCACGAAGGCCAGGGGAGCAAACGGG